UACGGAGGAUGCGAGCGUUAUCCGGAUUUAUUGGGUUUAAAGGGUGCGUAGGCGGCUUUUUAAGUCAGCGGUGAAAUUUUGCAGCUUAACUGUAACAGUGCCGUUGAUACUGGGGAGCUAGGAUUUGGUUGCUGUGGGUGGAAUGUGUGGUGUAGCGGUGAAAUGCUUAGAGAUCACACAGAAUAUCGAUUGCGAAGGCAGCUCACAAAGCCAAGAUUGACGCUGAGGCACGAAAGCAUGGGGAGCAAACAGGAUUA
Molecule: ribosomal RNA, 257 nt
Filed under: uncultured prokaryote
Description: partial 16S ribosomal RNA
Rfam family: Bacterial small subunit ribosomal RNA
Source: RNAcentral